Non-coding RNA from Delphinapterus leucas (beluga whale), 1580 nucleotides. Lineage: Eukaryota; Metazoa; Chordata; Mammalia; Artiodactyla; Monodontidae. The record is from RefSeq and is a predicted model, not a curated record.
CUGCCAGAGGUACACCUCGUGGUGAUUGUCAACAAGGAAAAGUGCUGCGAGGGCGGAGCAGAGCAGACGUCUAGUCAGGGGCUCUGCCCCACACCGAACCGACGCCUCCCUCCCUGCCGCCUCGGUCAGUGCGAGAAUCCGCUCGGCAGGUAAACUCGGGGCCACAGGGAGGGUGCCCCUGAUGUCUUGGCCCUUUGAACGGUGAAGCAGGAGAUGCCUCGAGGCAGAGAGAUGGCGUUGAUGAGGUGGGCUCUUUCCUCCCUCUCCCCCCAUUCCUUCCCCCUUUGCCCCUCCUGCAGCCGCCCUCUGGGUCCUGGCCGGUUGAGAAGAGUGGGACAGAUGACACACGUGACCCCCCCCAAGGGGUUGUCAGCGCCGCUGAUCCCCAAAAUGCGUACUGAACGUUGGGGAGUACAUCACGCUGGCCCUUGGGUCAUCAGUGGUCAUGCCCCACGUAGGACUGCUCUGCAGGCGAUCUGAGUCCAUGGUUCUUUCAGGGAGGAAUGGGCUUUGGAAAUCGAGUGUUGCCCCCUUUUCCCUUCAGCAGACCGUCAGCCUGACUCUUCCACGUGGUCAAGGGCUCUCACACCCGCCAGCCCAGCUCGCCUGAGUCCUUUCCUAGCCUGCAUCUCAGAAUUCUGUGAUAAUCACAUGCCUGAAAAGCCCAGCGGAGGCUGCCCCACCUGAGCCGCAGGACGGAGAGAAACAUGAUGGCUGGAGCAGGGGCAGCCACAUGGAGACUAUGAAGCAGCAAGCUGGAGGGAAGGCUGAGAGAACAGCAGAGACUCAUGCCCGACACAGUUGCGCUCAACCUACUCUUAACUGACGAAUUUGGAUUUGUGACACUGAAAAAAACCUGCGGACAAACCGAAUAGCCUAGAAAUAUUGAAAAAAUAAGAAAAUUUAGCUUCGCUUUCAGACAAUUACAUUACCGUACAGUAUGCCUCUCUCUAAUUGGGAAAGCUGUGUAUCAGCCUAUCAUCACGGCGUCUUGUUCCAGAGGUUCACGCUGUGCUCAGCUCGCUUCCUGGAAUUCUCCCCCCUCCUUCACUUCUCUCCAAGCCACACCUACACCUCCAAGGCUCCGGGGUCCAGGGGCGAACCUGAUGGGCCUCAGUGCCACGUGAGACGUGGCUGAACCCUGUCUAUCAUCUAGCUUGCUGGCCCUCAGAAUGAUGACGGGAGAUGAAGCAUCUCGCUUCACAGCUGUCCACCAACUGAAAGCCAAGGACUCCAGGUUGCCAAUUCAAAAGCCAAAUCACACCUUCAGAGAAGCUGCUGGGGGUCCUGUGCCGUUUAUGGAGGCAGGAUCCAGUUUAAGGUCGAGUCAUCUUGCGGCCUCCUUUAUGCAAAGCUGCUUUCUGAAGGCAACUCCAUGAUAGGAAGGGGGAGGGAGGCACCCAGGAAGCUGAUUUAUACGGCAGACAUCAGGAGGCCUUCGCUGGUCAGGCCGCAGCUACGUGAAGAGAGAGUUACUCUAAAGCCCACGCCUAUAAAAAUACCUUCCCGGAGAGGAGAACGGAGUCGAAUUCCAGCAGCAAAAGUGACUCACUCUGUGUGUUGUCUUCCUCCUCCUCCCG